AGAAGCUAUUGCAGACAUAUGGUAUGC
This 27-nucleotide non-coding RNA is filed under the name Rattus norvegicus (Norway rat). Lineage: Eukaryota; Metazoa; Chordata; Mammalia; Rodentia; Muridae. The record is from RNAcentral.